UUGACUGUUUAUCUUUCAUCAGCUCCUCCUACCAAUAGUGAAUGUUGUUUUUUUACUACUUAUAUAAAGAAUCCGGCCAUAAUGUUUUACCUUGAUUUUCGAUAUUCGACUUGUUAAGCUAAGUGUGGUGUGUUGUAGUGUUAAAUGAUAUUUUGUAUUCGACAUUUAAAUUAAUAUUUUCACAGGAAAACUGCUGUCCUUGUAGAACAUAAUGGAGUCAAGGUAUUGCUCGUUCGUGCUCUUCUUGUCUGUGUUGAUGGCAGUACUGCUUACAACCGAGGCCAUUCUUGGAUCAAGCAGAAGAAGGCGCUCGUCGUCGAGUUUUUCAAAGCCUCGUAAGGAUGAAGUAGCGGAAUUAGAAGUUAAAAAAAGACGCAGUGGUCCUACAUUAAAGGAAUCACUUGAAAGCGUAAUUGGGAAAGAAAAGUCCGGAUCCCAGGUACUUUAUGAAGGCGGUCUUCCAGGAGAAACCGGUGGUCAAUCAAAAUAACGAUUGCUCAGAUAUUCUCUGUUUUCUGACAUUCCAUUGAUCAGUAGUUGUGGUAUAAUCACGAAGAUAAUAUUUAGGAAUUACUGAUUCCUUAUGUUUUUAAAUAUUGCUCUAAAGUUAAUUCGUAAAUCGCAAGAAGAGAACGUGCCGAACAAUGCAAAAUUGGUGUUUAUUGCAGCACGUAUAGCCUUGAUCCACUUGUUAUGCGUUCGAAAAAAAAAAUAAUCAGUCAUAUUUUGAGAUUUAUUGUAAUGUCACGUGGCACUUAGAGUAGCACGAAGAAGAGUUAAACACAGGAACUGCCGCUUUAAAUGUUAUGAUGAAUUUAACGAAUGCUGUGAAGAAAUAUUUGUUUUCACAUUUCAAACUCUCAUUCAGAACUAUUGUCACUUGCCUAUUUCUGUGACAUAUUGAUACAUAAAUUAUUACCUAGGGCCUAAAGCACUGUCGAUAUUAUUCUCUUUGAUAAAAAGCUGUGGUAUGCCCGUAUAUAGACAUGAUGUGCCAACAUAUGGUCUUGAUGUGAUGUAAUCAUGACCAUGUUUUAGGCAUGUCACUUGUUUUUGUCAAAAAAAAAAAGUUGAUAGUCUGGACAGGGGUUUACUUUUAAUAAUAGCCAUCUGUUGACAAUUAAACAGUGAGUUAAAAAGUAUAAAUAUUAUAGCCUUUUACACAAGAUCUCGAAAUAAUAUACUCGCAUUAUGUCUUUGUGCGCGAAAUAAUUAUCUACAUUAUGUGUUUGUGAAAGCACGAACUAUGACCGCUUUGCAGUGAUUUUUUAAAAAAUAUUUGCUUUUGGGUUUCAACGUGCCAGCAAAUCCAAAUAAUUAUAUAAAUUAAAUCAAGUAAACUAAGGCUAUCAAAUGCAGCGUAACUAAUAACAAUUAGGCCUAUGUAACUUGACUGUUGAAUAAUUAAUUAUCUAUUUAUAAGUAUUUUUUUUUAAAUAUAAUUUUAAUUUAAGUGUCUUUCUUUUGUAAACUUUAAUUUGUUUAUAGUUCUUGUACCACUUGUUUUUGACGCACCUUCACUGAAAAGGUGUGUUCGUAAUAAAUUAUUAUAGUAUUUUUAUAUAAUAUUGUAUGAGUAGUUAAGUGUUUCUUUGCCAAACUGUUAGUGGCUAUAAUUAGCUGUUGGUUUGGUUACAGAUAAAUGAAAUGAAUUAUGGAAAUAAAUGU
Molecule: long non-coding RNA, 1668 nt
Organism: Anneissia japonica
Lineage: Eukaryota; Metazoa; Echinodermata; Crinoidea; Comatulida; Comatulidae
Exons: 3
Source: RefSeq, a predicted model, not a curated record